AGAUCCAUAAUGACACCUACAUCUGCCUUGAAGAGACAUGAAGUCAUAAAAAUCAUGCUCAAUAAGAUUAUCCUGAGGUGA
This 81-nucleotide small nucleolar RNA is filed under the name Procavia capensis (Cape rock hyrax). RNAcentral's name for it is "Small nucleolar RNA SNORD115 (ENSPCAG00000019555.1)". It matches the Rfam family "Small nucleolar RNA SNORD115". From Rfam's summary of the family: HBII-52 is a member of the C/D class of snoRNAs, which contain the C (UGAUGA) and D (CUGA) box motifs. HBII-52 is encoded in a tandemly repeated array with another C/D snoRNA, HBII-85, in the Prader-Willi syndrome (PWS) region of chromosome 15. HBII-52 is exclusively expressed in the brain but is absent in PWS patients. Lineage: Eukaryota; Metazoa; Chordata; Mammalia; Hyracoidea; Procaviidae. The record is from RNAcentral.